CCCACCACGUACGCCGCGCGGCCAUUGCGUGACUGUCCUCUCCAAACGGUGUGGCUGGAUCUCGUCUGUAUGCACGCCCCAAGCAACUGUCGCUGGCGACUUGGCUAGAAUGAUCGACUAAGGCGCGAGUUAGAUACAGUCUCACCGUUUGAGAUGGCGGAUGCGGGUGGAAAGAAAGGGAUAGAGAGAAAGAAAGAGAGAGAGAAAGGGUUGCUGUAAAGCAGGUGCAGGCGAUACCUUGGGAUUUCGUACGCGCAUACACAUACACACAUCAGCCCUCCUGCCUGUCGUCGAUUUGGUUUGUAAACUGUAUCGAAACCAAAGUACUUUUACUACUUAGAGUUUGUUUGCUAUAAUAUAUUUAACAUGUGUAUAUACUUAAAGCAAAAUAUUCUUAAAAAACGUAAAGGAGGAAAAAUUUUCAUAUUGUUUUAGAAGUACUUUCAAGUUCCUUAAAUCUGUAAAAUAAAUAUAUUAUAAGACUGCCUUGCAUUGUGAUAAUAAUUCUAUCAGUGUGUAGCAUUUAAACUUUUCUUGAUCCUGAACAUUAUAAUAAGCAAUUAACAGUAAAAUUAUAAUAAAUAAUUUUCAGAAAGCUGUAAAACAUUUUUAUCUUUUUAAAUUGUAAAUUGCAACAUUUUAUGUAUCAACUUUCACUAAUUAUCAAGGUUCUCAACAUUGACGGAUCUAUCUCUCUCUCGCAUAUUUCUAAGAUGCUUUAUUCUGUUUAGGAUCAAGAUAACAAAAACAAAGGAUCUCAAUUAUUAUUGUAAGACAUUGUGAUACUUUUAAUUUUGUAUUAAAUAAUUUGUAAAUAACAAAACUGUGAUACAGAUUAAACGAGAAGAUAAAGUGAGACGUUCUGAGAGGAGUGUAAGAUAAAUAAAUACAUUUUUUGCAAGUAACAAUAUAGAACUAUUCCUUGUCAACUUCUCUAUUCACCAACUUAUUAAUGCCGUCAAUCCUUUUCAGUCUGGCACAUAGACAUCAUAGAAAAUACACCUUAUCGCGAACAAAGGGCCAUGGCUGCCAAUAUGGACGACGUCGUCGUCGUCAUCGGCUUAGAAAACGUACCUAUAAGAUUGCAGUAAGCGAAAGAACCAUAAGGGAGUAUUAUCUGCGUUUUGAGUGAGAGGGAAGAAGAAAGGUCUGUUUCUAGAGGCUGGUCGAAUCGACGCACAAGCAAACGUUAUCUUCUGCACGAAUCGUCACAAUACCGAGCUCAUGUGUGUUUGGUAACUACGGACAAUGAGAAACGACUUUCAUGCAGUGAGUCUUCAUUCCCCUCCGAAAAUCGAUCGUUUUCUCAAGUCCGAAACAAGUUCGUUCUCGUUGAGUAACAUAGGAUAAUGAUGCGGAAAACCGUACCCUAAGGUUGCAGGUAUACUUCAAGUAAGGUAACUCGUCAUGCAAGCAUGCGAAUAACCUAUUUGAGUUGCCGAAAGUUUCUCCUCUUUGUUGCCACGUAUAUACGCUUGUCCUGGCGUUGCCAUAAUAAUGUGUUCAUAGAUCUACGCAACCUUCGGCCACGCCGAGACCACGACCAGGAUAGGAUGCGUGUUUUAGAUGUUUGGAGAGGGAGAUUUGAGAGCUACCGGAGACUUAAGCAAGUGAAGGAUACGAAAAAUUAUCAAUGUAAAGAAAGUAUACGCGCAAGGAUACAUUGUAUAUGAGAAGUGGAAGAUGUUAGGUUUUCUCGACUCGGUAACAUUGGUUUCAUCUGAAAGUAGGGAUAUUGAAUUUUAUUUAUUUUCUAAUAGACGAUAAUAUGCAUCUUAAUAUCUUUUUGGAAACGUAAUAUCCAAUUAAUUAUGAGAAAUCUGGAUAUUCGAGGAUCUAAGAACUUAUCGAAGGAAAUCGAUCUUGGAACUGUGAGGAAUCCACGUGCACGUGCGAAAAUCUUUAUUAUCCCAAGCUUUCAGAAUAAAGUCUAGGGUAUUGAGAAAGAAACUUGGUAUUUUCCCAAUCUUAGCCGAUCACUCUAAGGAUCUUAAGUCUACUAAGAAAUGAACUGAGGCACACACGAAGAAGGAAAAAUCAUACAUAAAAUGAAACAAAGAGAUACUGUUAUAUAUAAAAGGGCGCACAACAAAUAGGAGCACUAUAUCAAUACCAAUUGAACGGAACUUUCUAUUAACUUGGUGAAGCUAGUUAAGUGGAUAUAUGUAUAUAUUUCGACUUUUUAUCAAAUUGUUUAUUUGAUAAUUAUAAGUGUAUUACAUAGUAAACUAGACAACUCAGUUUGUGGUGAUGCAGUAUGAAGUAUUUGUAUGGUAACAAAUAUCGAAUUUUUUUUCUUGACAAUAUCAUUUUCUACAGAAACAUUCUUUAUAGAGAUGAAAAGGGACAAAUAUAAAAUAGGCGGGGGGGGAGGGGUGCAAAUGAGAAAUCUUUUUGAUUGACAGAAAGCUGUGUAUGUUCGGAAGAUCUCUCGUCCCAUUCGACCCGCUGGACCUGUGAGGAAUAUGGUUUAAGUUGUUCAAGAUUAUACUUGGUGUACCCAUGUAAAAUGCAGUCUAUUGAACGUGACCAUCGUGGAGGUUUGAUUUGAUGGACGGCUUGAAAGAGAGAAUGAGAAUGAGUGAAUUUUCCAGCGUAACUAGCUAUCGUUCUUUAUCUCAUAAUCCCUAUGUCAUAUUCGUAAUAUAUCUACAUGUUGCAUUUUGCUUUGCUCGGUUCUCUUUAUGUUUUACAUAGCAGGCAGCAGAACGAAAGAGCUGUAAGAUAUAAGCCUUUCAUAGAUUAGAGAAACGGCCCCGACGUAUUACUGUCUACACAUCUAAUUCGACAACCUAAGACAUUGGUCCGUGAUCAUCGGAAGGUACCGUUGGAUUUGCGUGUUGCGUGAAAACGACAAAGGUAACGAGAGAUCAUUAUAACAGACGAUCCAUUGUUGAUCUUUGAUCCUUGUACCUUGCGAAUGCAAAUAUUGGAAGGGGAGGGGAAGCGGGGCAAAACAUAUGUUUUUAUGAGUCAUAGGAAGAUGCUGUUCUACACAAAGGCGAUAAAGGAAAAUGCGCUUGGAUGGUGUUUUGAGAUGGCACAAGAUUACUAGAUAAAAUCGCUGGUCACAUACUGAUGUGUUAAUACGCUGAUGUCCCCUACUUUGAUUAGUUUGGCAAGAUGUAAUCUCAUCUGAAUCCGCAACGAAAGUUCGCACUAGACUUCUGCAAGGAUACAUUGAGUUCAUGGACCUUUGAAAAUCUCGGAUGAAUUAAGUUUAAGAAUGGCAGCCAAUAAUCGAAGAGCUAAGAAUAGAAAGCUUCAAGAAUUUAAGAACUUGAGAAUUUACUUUCGGAAUUCAAAAAUCUAUAGAUAUCUAAGAAUCUAAAAUUAGUUUUGGAUAAUAUUUCCUUUUCAGAUCGCUUUGUUUUUAUCAUUAAUUUAAUUAGAACGGAAUUGUUUUAUCGUAAUUUGGAUAUAACUUCAAAAUUUUUAUUUUGUAGAAGAAAUCGUAAUAAUAUAUUUAUCUAUUAUGGAACAAUCUUAUAUCUAAAGAAUGAAGGUACUUUGCGAAAAAUCUAUAUAAAAUAAUCUGAAAUUUUUUAACUCGAAAAGAAGAAAAGAUUUGACUCCCAUAUAUACACACAUACAUAUAUUGUUUUUCGAAGGUAUUGAUUUCAAAAGUACUUGAAAGAGAAAAAGAGGUAUAUAAUGUUUUAUUACAAUAAUUCGAAUAAUUUAUUACAAUUUAUCAGAAUUCAUUGAUUGUCAAUAUGUAGGUCUCUUAAUCUUUUAGUUAGAUCUUCUAUGAGAGGUAUAUAAUGGUGGCAAAUACCACUAAUAGGGAGGGAGAAAUAAAAUAUUACUUUGUUUUUCCACAGAAAGCAGUCAUUCGAAUUACAACAUUCGUUACAUCCAAAAUGUAUUUUAGUCAUGGAAUGAGUAGGAUGCAGGUUCGAUCAUUUAAGACACAAAUGGUUCACAAUGAGAUCAUACCAUAUUUCUAAGGAAACAAGGAAAUAAUAUGAAAAUUGAUAUACUAGUUGGAAAGAGGAUAUAGUGAAAAGAUUAAGGUUCAACUUUCGACGGAGUUCUUAGCAAGUUAUGUCGCCGAGAUAGAUUUAGGUUUUGCAACAGAGCGAGAUUAAAAGAUAUAAUUUUCUCGAAAAGGAUGAGAAUUACACAAAGUUUGAUAUAAAUUAUGUGGACUCGUGCGGACCGAAUAUGUAGACUUUGGGCUUUAAUAGAAUUAAUUAGGAAGAAGAUGAGAUAAUUGAUGAUAUAAUUAAGAGGAAGAUGAUAAUAGCAUGAUUCGAUAAAAUGCAAUAGCUUAUUAAGAAAAAAUGGAGUAGAACAGUAACACAGGUAAGCAAAAGCUGCAAGAUUUUAGGUUCCAGGUAAUGAUUUUUAGAAAAGACCUUUUGCGGUCGUGCUUUUUUAAUCGCUUAAAUACCAAGCUGAGAAAUUAACGUUAAUUUUUUUUAGCAAUUAAUUAUUGAGCGUUGAAAAAUUAGCAUUAAUACUGGCUUUCAAAAAGAUUUCUUAAAUCUCAUUAUGAGAUAUUUAAUUCUAAUUUUACAAAAAACAUUUACAAAAAUUUACAAAGAUAAUUGAAAAUGAGGUGAAAACUAAUUUUAUAUCCAUUUUAGAUUAAAUUUGUUGAAUUAGAUCAAAUCACUAACUAUAACAGAUACCUCAAAAUUCAAAUUGAUUUCAAUUCCAGCAUACUAGUACAUUUGUUAUAUUUGCGUUUAGUAAAUAUGCAGACUCAUAUCUUAAGACGUUUUAAUAAGGUAUAUUUAUGUUUUUCUUUUUUCCAUAUUUUAUAAAUAUACAUUUAAGAAUAUUGGAAGAGAGUGAUGCCUAUAUACAAGGUAGUCGCGUUUUAAAAAUGGAACUGAAUGGAACUUGCAUUUGAACGAAGCGAUGACUUGCACUUCCGUUCCUCAGUGUCAUCAUGAACAGUCUUACAUUUCUUUUUUGUACCCUGAAGAAGCUUGAUUCCAUUUUCUCUCUCGCUUAUGAGAUUUUAUUGCAGUCGACCAAAGAGGCAUCUUGGAUGUGUGUUAUCCGUCUCUCUAAAACUUUGCCUACUAACGGAGUGUUUUAGAGAGGCACAAAAGUGCUCAACCAAGUCAUAAUCAUCGGCCUUUCAAAUUCGACGCUGGUCUCCAAACACUUGCUCGACUGCGUGAGCGUGUGAGUUUUGGUUCUCGAUUCUUGUCGUUGGCUGUCUUUGAGAUCUUAAAAGGGUGUUCUCUUCUGGACAUACGAGGCUUCCAUUUAUUCAUCGUCUGUGAGAUUCUUCAACAACUAGGAUUUCGUCAAAAAAUCAUCGUGGAUCUUCAAUGUAAAAUAGAAUCGUCGAAACUUGCAAGGGGAUGGUUUUUUCAACAUUCACACACCGAUAUGAAAUAUGCAGAGUUCCAGCAAAACGGCAAAUCCUUCUUCCUAAAAAAAAUUUAUUUUACCAAAUGCUGUGAAAAAUCGCCUAUUGUUAAAGAAAUAUUAGAUGCUGAGAAAACUUGUAAUAGGAAAAUGGAGCAUCAUAGAGAAUCAUAGAACUUUAUGGAACUUUGUCGUGAAAGAAGAUUUUAUCGCGGAAUU
This is a long non-coding RNA of Wasmannia auropunctata (little fire ant), 5550 nucleotides long. RefSeq lists it as uncharacterized. The record is from RefSeq and is a predicted model, not a curated record. Lineage: Eukaryota; Metazoa; Arthropoda; Insecta; Hymenoptera; Formicidae. The transcript has 3 exons.